RNAcentral lists this ribosomal RNA (872 nucleotides) under uncultured bacterium. RNAcentral describes it as "bacterial SSU rRNA". It matches the Rfam family "Bacterial small subunit ribosomal RNA", at positions 1 to 862 of the family's 1533-position model. The record is from RNAcentral.
GGAUCCAGACUUUGAUUAUGGCUCAGAUUGAACGCUAGCGGCAGGCCUAACACAUGCAAGUCGAACGGUAACAGGAAACAGCUUGCUGUUUCGCUGACGAGUGGCGGACGGGUGAGUAAUGUCUGGGAAACUGCCUGAUGGAGGGGGAUAACUACUGGAAACGGUAGCUAAUACCGCAUAACGUCGCAAGACCAAAGAGGGGGACCUUCGGACCUCUUGCCAUCGGAUGUGCCCAGAUGGGAUUAGCUAGUAGGUGGGGUAACGGCUCACCUAGGCGACGAUCCCUAGCUGGUCUGAGAGGAUGACCAGCCACACUGGAACUGAGACACGGUCCAGACUCCUACGGGAGGCAGCAGUGGGGAAUAUUGCACAAUGGGCGCAAGCCUGAUGCAGCCAUGCCGCGUGUAUGAAGAAGGCUUUCGGGUUGUAAAGUACUUUCAGCGGGGAGGAAGGGAGUAAAGUUAAUACCUUUGCUCAUUGACGUUACCCGCAGAAGAAGCACCGGCUAACUCCGUGCCAGCAGCCGCGGUAAUACGGAGGGUGCAAGCGUUAAUCGGAAUUACUGGGCGUAAAGCGCACGCAGGCGGUUUGUUAAGUCAGAUGUGAAAUCCCCGGGCUCAACCUGGGAACUGCAUCUGAUACUGGCAAGCUUGAGUCUCGUAGAGGGGGGUAGAAUUCCAGGUGUAGCGGUGAAAUGCGUAGAGAUCUGGAGGAAUACCGGGUGGCGAAGGCGGCCCCCUGGACGAAGACUGACGCUCAGGUGCGAAAGCGUGAGGAGCAAACAGGAUUAGAUACCCUGGUAGUCCACGCCGUAAACGAUGUCGACUUGGAGGUUGUGCCCUUGAGGCGUGGCUUCCGGAGCUAACGCGUUA